Molecule: ribosomal RNA, 113 nt
Filed under: Streptococcus pasteurianus
Lineage: Bacteria; Bacillati; Bacillota; Bacilli; Lactobacillales; Streptococcaceae
Also listed under: 3 other names
Source: RNAcentral
AGUGAUGAUAGCCUAGGAGAUACACCUGUUCCCAUGCCGAACACAGCAGUUAAGCCCUAGAACGCCUGAAGUAGUUGGGGGUUGCCCCCUGUUAGAUAUGGUAGUCGCUUAGC